UUUCCGUAGGUGAACCUGCGGAAGGAUCAUUAAACGUUGCCACGUAUAUACCAAACCGCGAACCGUUAUUCACCCCAGAUUCUAGAUUGUAAGGGCGAAGCGCCACCGUGGGUGUGGUUGGCCGCACCGAAGUAACAGAGUUUACUCUGCUAAAACGGCACGGCUAUGCGCAACGCUUGUUCCUUCUUUCGAGAAGGGAGUCUAGUUUGUGGGUUCUAAUUGCAUCUCCAAGAGAUUACAUCUCUUGAUUUAUUAACCAAUGAUGAACUAACUUUGUAAUCAAUAAAAAUGUCAAGCGUAAAACCUUGAACGAUUUAUUAAAAAACUAAGCACAAUACUUAGCAACGGAUAUCUGGGCUCUCGCCUCGAUGAAGAACGCAGC
RNAcentral lists this unclassified non-coding RNA (382 nucleotides) under plant metagenome. Its description in RNAcentral is "partial contains small subunit ribosomal RNA, internal transcribed spacer 1, and 5.8S ribosomal RNA". The stretch from base 334 to 382 matches the Rfam family "5.8S ribosomal RNA", at positions 1 to 49 of the family's 154-position model. The record is from RNAcentral.